Molecule: ribosomal RNA, 253 nt
Filed under: uncultured bacterium
Lineage: Bacteria
Description: partial 16S ribosomal RNA
Rfam family: Bacterial small subunit ribosomal RNA
Source: RNAcentral
GACAGAGGCCUCGAGCGUUAGGCGGAAUCACUGGGCUUAAAGCGUGUGUAGGCGGAAGCGUAAGUACCUUGUGAAAUCCCACGGCUCAACCGUGGAACUGCUGGGUAUACUGCGUUUCUUGAGCCAUUUAGGGGCGAGUGGAACGGAUGGUGGAGCGGUGAAAUGCAUAGAGAUGUGGAGGAACACCGAUGGCGAAGGCAGCCCCCUGGGCUGAGGUUGACGCUCAGGCACGAAAGCGUGGGGAGCAAACAGG